UACGUAGGGGGCAAGCGUUGUCCGGAAUCAUUGGGCGUAAAGAGCGUGUAGGCGGUUCGGUAAGUCGGCUGUGAAAGUCCAGGGCUCAACCCUGGGAUGCCGGUCGAUACUGCCGGACUAGAGUUCGGAAGAGGCGAGUGGAAUUCCCGGUGUAGCGGUGAAAUGCGCAGAUAUCGGGAGGAACACCUAUGGCGAAGGCGGUUGCCUGGAGCUUUGCUGACGCUGAUGCGCGAAAGCGUGGGGAGCGAUCCGG
This 253-nucleotide ribosomal RNA is filed under the name uncultured bacterium. RNAcentral describes it as "partial 16S ribosomal RNA". It matches the Rfam family "Bacterial small subunit ribosomal RNA", at positions 524 to 776 of the family's 1533-position model. The record is from RNAcentral.